This 1953-nucleotide long non-coding RNA is filed under the name Octopus vulgaris (common octopus). Lineage: Eukaryota; Metazoa; Mollusca; Cephalopoda; Octopoda; Octopodidae. The record is from RNAcentral.
ACACACAUACGUAUAUGCGCAUACAGGGUGGCGCAGAAGUCACGAAGGGGUUUCAAUAUUUAAUAUCUUGUUUAUCUCAUUUAAAAAUUGCGAUAUUUUCGUAGGUAAGUUAUAGAAAAAGAAUGUGAGAUUUUAUUUCCCCAAGAUGUGAAAGACGGCAUUUUUUAAAUGGCAUCCGUUUUCCAAUUCGCAUAAACAACGUACUCCUUUGUAAGGUAUUUUCCAUAACAGCCUUUAAUGUUUGUGGCCCCAGUGAUCUAAUUUCUGUUCUGAUGUCAUUCUUGAGAUUUACUCUUUUACUUGUUUCAGUCAUUUGACUGUGGCCAUGCUGGAGCACUGCCUUUUAGUUGAGCAAAUCGAGCCCAGGACUUAUUCUUUGUAAGCCUAGUACUUACUCUAUCGGUCUCCUUUACCGAACCACUAAGUUAUGGGGACGUAAACACACCAGCAUCGGUUGUCAAGCGAUGUUGGGGGAGACAAACACACACUCACACACAUAUAUAUAUAUAUAUAUCUAUACAAUGGGCUUCUUUCAGUUUCCAUCUACUAAAUCUACUCACAAGGCUUUGGUCGGCCCGAGGCUAUAGUAGAAGACACUUGCCCAAGGUGCCACGCAGUGGGACUGAACCCGGAACCAUGUGGUUGGUAAGCAAGCUACUUACCAGACAGCCACUCAAAUUUUUUUCCUGAAGACAGCUCCAUAGAAAAAAGUCUGGAGUGGUUAGAUCCGGAGAACGAGAUGGCCAAUUUAUCUCUGAAAAUUAAGAAAUUUAUUUUUUAUCAAAACUUUGCCUGAGUGUUUCCUUGGUGUUCCUUAUUGUUUGGGCUGCGGCCCCUCCUGCUGAAACCGCAUAUGAGGCAUAUCUUGAAGCGCUGGAUGUAAGAAAUUUGGGAUCAUGGAUCAGUGUUUGUCUCCAGGAACAGUAACAGUGUCUCCUUCCUCAUUUUCGAAGAAAUAAGGUCCUAUCACUUUUUUCGAAGUCAUUCCACACCAGAUGGUACCCUUAAUGGGAUGCAGCUCUCUUUGAUGGAUUGCUGUAGGGUUUUCUGGACCCCAAAUCCUGCAGCUUUGUUUAUUAAUGAAUCCAUUCAAAUGAAAAUGGGUUUUAUCUGCCAUAAUCAAUUUAUGGGUGGAGGCACGUGGCUUAGUGGUUAGGGUGUCAGCAUCAUGAUCGUAAGAUUGUGGUUUCAAUUCCUGGACCGGGCUGUGUGUUGUGUUCUUGAGCAAAACACUUCAUUUCAUGUUGCUCCAGUUCACUCAGCUGGCAAAAAGGAGUAACGCUGCGAUGGACUCACGUCCCAUCCAAUUGAGAAACACAUACGCCAUUGAAACUGGGAAACUGGGCCUAUGAGCCUGGCUAGGCCUUGAAAGGGCGCCUUUAUUUAUUUUAAUCAAUUUAUGGAGAACCUCUGGGUUUUCUCUUGCUAAUUCUUGGAAUCUUGUGGCAUAUUAUAAUCCAGCAGCAUAGUCUAGUUCUUCCAGCUUUUGCACUGAUCGGAUUUUAUACAGCAAAGAUCCAUUGUUUUUAAAAUCCGUUGGAGUGAUGUCCUGCAGCUUUCAACUCAUCCAGAACAUCUUCGUGUUGUUGUUGUUGGGUCUUCUUCAAUACUCUCCCUCACAUGCCUGACUAUGGCUUUGUUUCCAAUGGAACAAGGUCUGCUUAUUCUUGGAAGGUCACUUACCAAUCCUUGAUCCACAAAUUGACUAAUUAAUUGAUUUAGACGAUUCAUUGCUCCAUAAUUACAACAAAUAUGCUCGUUGAGUCCGAAUUAUUGGUCCUUGGUUUUGAUAAUCAAAUUUCACAAUUUGUGUUCACUGUUCACUAGUGUACUUUUCCAUGCUUAAAUUUUAGAGUCGUCUGUGUAUAAUUAUGAAAUAAAACAAGAAUUAAAUAAUUAUUUAAAAAGUUAUUAAAUACUGAAACCCCUUCGUGAUGUCUGGGCCAGCCUGUG